UGGGGCUGAGGGAGACCUGGUCAGUUUCUUUAGCUGCACUUUCAAUUCCAGUUUGAAGAAGUAUUACAGAUGCAAUGCACAUUUCCUUGAAAGAUUUAGCACUUCGACUAUUUCAUGCAUGAACACUAGAAAAGAUAUUUCUGACACGAGUUGGGUUCAUGACUUCUUGCAGCCAAAAUUCCCAAAUAAUACCAAAGAGAGGAGGUUCCUUGUCUCCCGAAAAGCCCAGGAAUUCUCAACUGAUAGUACCUUUUUCCAGGUCUCAACCACGCUUGCUGCGUAGGCCAAGAUAUGGAUAUAUUUGUGCUUGUGGUCCUGGUUGAUUCUGGCCCCUGGCUUAAAGAGCGACUGCAUGAACAGGUCCAGGAAGGCCGGCACCCGGAUCUGAGGGGACACACGGUAUCAGUGGAAAGGAAUGCACGGAAGAGAUGUCAGACUUACUAAAGUGAAGUGAUGGAGACCUUUACCAAAAACCAAAUACGACCUUGCAGAAGAAACAGACCUCCCAACCAACCCAAAAUAACUCUCAUUCAUCAGCACUUUCGCCUUUUCUGUGACUCUAGUACUCUGCCUACCUUAACGGUGAAGUUAAGCAUCAAACAGUCUGGAUGGGCUUCAGCCAGUUUGUAAAAAAGAUCUCUCCACGUGGUAUGUGCAAUCAUUUGUUCAAGCCAAGCUGGAGUCUGCCAACAAACAGACGGCAAGAUAAAAGACCUAGCUUGAGCUUAAGUGAAGAUGAUACUCUAUAAACAGUGGCUGGCUCUCCCAGCUGGAAGAGCCCCCGAGAGCAUCUAGCUCCAGCCCUUGCAGUCCCAGCAGCGGAAGCAGACCCAGAGUUGGUGAUGCCACACGGGAGGCUGAGUGGCAGCACCAGAACCCUGAAGGCCCACUCACAGCUUCGGAAAGGCUCAACUGCACACAAGAGCGUACCGGAAGGCGCUUCUGGGAGACACGCGAGAGUCUAGGGAAGCCCACGGAGAGGGGCUGCGGCAGACGCACCUCAGCUGUGUGCCCUGGGUGCCCAGCACAGUGGUUUUGUCCAUCACCAUGUGUGACUGACAGACCCAAGGGCUGACUCUGAGUCCACCUCCCAUUUGUGCCAAGGCCAGGCUUCCCACUGAACACUCCCAGCCACCAACUGAGCGUGGCAGGGCUCCUCAGGCAGGCCUGUUCCCAGGAGACCUGGGCCUCACUGACACUGCGGAAACUUUCUGAAAAUGGCACUGUCGCCUAGGGCUCUUUGUCCCCAACCUUCCUUCCCUCCCUCCGGCCUUUGGGGGCCACACUUGCAACAUGGCCCCCCGGCCCCUGCUCAUCUUCUCUCACACACGUGUCCCCCGUCAUCUCCUGCACACACAACCUCGUCCUGGCGUUUGCCUGCGGGGGCACCCAGGUGACGACAGCACUCCACUCAGAGCCUGUGCUCCAGAGGCAGCAGGACACGGGAGCUCGGAGUCUGCUCUUCCUCCUCCCCAGCUCACCACGUGUGCGCCUCUCCGCUCGCGAGAGCUCACCACACUGCACGGAGCAUUCAGAGGGCAGCUCUGACUCCACGCAACUCCUCUCACACCCUGAUUUUAGGACCCAACUCUUUACUCACAUCACACAGCACACUCCACUGCAUGCGUGGAACAAGCAAAAGAUCCCAGGAACCCAUAUUAGAGAAAGAAGACAGACUCCUCACCUCUCCUUCUUCAGUAAAAAUAGAAUCUGCUUUGCGGGGGUCAAAAUGUUUGAUUAAUAAACUCUUCAGGUGAUUUUCCACUGUUUCCUGAACCUGCACUGGUUCAACACCUGUAAGAAAAUGAAAACAACCAGAUGGAAAAUGGCAAUCCCUCAAUCUGUUGUACUCCUUUAGGAAAAGUAGACCGGUGAAAAGUCUACAUGUGAAUCAAAGACCACAGAACUGCUUCUGACCACUUGGAAUUUGGGACCGCUCAUAAAAAUUACUAUUUGUUAACCAUAUUCAAUGGUAAGACUCAAAAAGGAACACAGGGCGGAACAUGCAAGGAUGUUGGCCUACAUGGAAAGGACAGCAGCAUCUUGGAAGCCUCGGGAAGGGCAAGGACAAACUGCCAACACAGACAGGUAGGAGGAUGGAAAGACAUUCCCACCACAGUGGAAGAGAGCAGACGCCAGCCACGAGAGGCACACUGUCUCCAAGCGCUGUGGCAGCAACGAACUGCUGGCCUUCCGGGCAGCGCCUACCCCCUGAUGUCAUCCGCACCCAGCUCAGUGGACUUACAGGCUCUAUUUUGAUCAUAUUAGCUAAAAGCCAUAAUCAUACCCAGUCCUACAUUAUCCAUCAAUUACUGCUUGCUGUAACAGAUCUCUUAAAAAUGACACACUGAACAUAUACUGUAUAAUCCUAUAAUUCUACAACAUGGUAGGGCAAAGAGCUCAAUGAGAAUCACAUUUGCAGGCUAUCUGUAAACCUCAAUUAUUGAAUCAAAGAUAAGAAUCAAGCAGACGAAGAUGGGUAAGAAGUUCAGUUCCGACUUACAGAAGUCUUAAAACCCAGGAAAACAAACAAGGCCUUUCCAAUUUAUCAGCAUUAAGAUGAUCCAAAGGUCUGUAAAAAAGAUGGAGGGGGGAAGUGACCAGCCAGGAUGGGGGCCACCCACAAAGCACCUGUCUGAAUGAGCCACUCAGCCAGCAAGUUCACAGUCUGGGCCACGGCCGUGUAGUUCUCAGAUAAGAGCUGGAUAACGUUCUCCGGAGACCCUCCUGCCUGAAAAUACCUAGAAAAAGUAAAGAAAAGCUACAGCACGGGCAUGGGGAUCAAUGACAAGAUAGCUAGGAUAUUAAGAUGUUUAAAGGUGGGGGCGGAACUAGAAGGCUUCCAUUCGAAAAUCACAUUAUUCUCACUUCUGCACUUCAUCCUCUGGAUCUCUGAUGAACUGUCUCUAAGUUACCCCCAGCCUCCUCCCAAUACAAAUGACCUUUCUCACACACCUCUUCAGAGUGUUGAAGAUGGAGGGCUCCAUUAUGUAAUCUCGGGUAGAAAAUUUAUGUAGGCAUUCUUGCUGGACCUCUGCGUCAUCUUCUCCCUCUCCAUAAUCAUCCUCCUGCUGGUGGUAAAAAGAGCCAUGUGAUUUUUUCAUUAAUACAAGUAUCCCGUAAUCUCACCUUAAAUUUCUAUCACCCAGUCCCUUUCAAAACUGUCCCUCCCACAUACAUGAUUUAAUUGACUUUCUGGACAGUUUCAUGAAGCGGGCGGGACAAGUAAUGGGCAGCUACGAAAACUGAAUCGAGAACCACACAGCAAGCAGGUGCGUGCUGCGCCUCCGCCCUGGCCCACGUGGGCACAGUGGCCACACAGGUCACCUCAGAUCUCGGGGUGGCCGUUUCCUCCUCUAUUAAAGGUAAUAAUAGCGACUGCUCCCAUCUGUCUGUUGUAAGGAUUCCGUAAUCUAAUUUCUGGAAGAACCAAGCAGAGUACCUGACAUUUAGUAAGAACUCAAUAGAUACUAGUUAUUGUUUUCACAACUAUUUCAUAUGUGCCCUUUAAUGCUUUCCUCCAACAAAGACUGAUGAAGCGAUUCCUGAAGGCAAAAGCCAUCAAUAUGCUGUUAGAAAGUGAAGGUCACAGACUUGCCUCGCAUCGGCAGGCCUGGCUGGAGACUAGUCCCUGUUCUGGUUGGAAACAACCUUGGGCAAGUCACUGAAUCUAAGAACAAAGCAGGAUGAUGAUGUGAUGACAUCAAGGUCCAUCCGGCGUGAACGUUGUCAUCCCAACUAACAAGCAGAUUCUUUUUAAACGCUUGCUCUGUACUGAGCACUGUACUUGUCACCAGGAAACCUAGGACAUACAAGACAAGAUACGGCUUUUUCCGCCAAAGGACUUCACAAACUAGGAGAGACCAGCCUCUAGGCGACUAACAUAACGGGGUAAGACCUAGACCAGGAAUCAGCAAACUAUGGCUCAGGGCCAAAUCCAGUCCUUCUCUUUUUGUAAAUAAAGUUUUAUUGGAACCUA
Non-coding RNA from Leptonychotes weddellii (Weddell seal), 3979 nucleotides. NCBI's taxonomy places the organism in Eukaryota, Metazoa, Chordata, Mammalia, Carnivora, Phocidae. The record is from RefSeq and is a predicted model, not a curated record.